CAGAUGCUAAUACCGGAUAACAACAGAUGAUGCCUAUCAACUGUUUAAAAGAUGGUUCUGCUAUCACUCUUGGAUGGACCUGCGGUGCAUUAGCUAGUUGGUAGGGUAACGGCCUACCAAGGCGAUGAUGCAUAGCCGAGUUGAGAGACUGAUCGGCCACAUUGGGACUGAGACACGGCCCAAACUCCUACGGGAGGCAGCAGCC
This 205-nucleotide ribosomal RNA is filed under the name uncultured Lactobacillus sp. Its description in RNAcentral is "partial 16S ribosomal RNA". It matches the Rfam family "Bacterial small subunit ribosomal RNA", at positions 157 to 355 of the family's 1533-position model. The record is from RNAcentral. Lineage: Bacteria; Bacillati; Bacillota; Bacilli; Lactobacillales; Lactobacillaceae.